ACUAAAAAAAAAAAAUAAACAGGUCAACAAGGUCAAAACUAGACAAAAAUAGAUUGAUUUCAAAAAUUUACCACAUAUAUUUGAGAUUGUAGAAUAAACUAUACCUUACCUACUCCUAUUACCACAGCACAUGAUCACAACAGAAUCAACUUGAGAAAAUAGAGAGAGAUCGCUACCAGCAAAAUUAGUAACAUUAGCACAAGUAAUCUCAGAAGUAGUUUUUCUCUUCAAAAACGCAGCAUUUUCUUGUUGAAUAGUGUUCAACAAAUCAGCAAGACUGUCAUUGUAUUGAAGUAUUCCCACUUCCAAUGGAGUGUUCGCUAAAACUUGAGCUGCCAUCCUUAGUUGGUUCUUGGUCCUUUCCUUAAACUCUUUAUGCCAAUCAGGGUAACCAUGGAGUUUGCAACAAGUAUCUUUCACAUGCCAUACGCAUUACAGUAUUCACAAUGUCUGUCCCCUUUCUUCAUAUUGUCUUUCCUCCUGUUGUAGCUAGAGUUCCCCUAGAAACUAUUAUAACCAAUUGCUUCUUUGUUUCUAUUGAACUGUGGCUUGGCCAUCAUAGCAGCAUUAUCAAGGAGAUCAGAAACACAGAGCAUCUCUCUCAAUUUUUCCACAAUCUGACUCUUAGCUUGAUCAUAGCUAUCAUUGAGCUCCAUGAGAAACUGUAAAAAUCUAUCUGAAUAAGUUAUCUCACAUAUAGCUUCCGCAGCUUCACAAGAACACAAAGGCAAAGGCAUCAAACUUGUUAAUUCCUCCCACAGCUUCUUAAGUUUUUUCCAAUACAAAGAUUUCGGCAUGUUACCCUAAGUAGCAGCAUUUAUUUCCCUCUGAAUAUGAUUAAAAAAAAAAAGGUCCAUUACUCUCCCAAAAUCUUUCUUCUAGUUCAUUCCACAAUUCCCUAGCAGUAGUUACAAAGGAUCAACCAGUUCUUUUGAGAUCGAAUUAAGUUUCCAAUAGCAAGAUGUCACCAAAAAAAAUCUACUUUUUGGGAUUUCUCAAACUCAGCAGAAUCUCUCUGUAUGUAUAUUCAGUAAUAUAUCAGUUCAGUACAGAAGAAGCCCUAUAUGCAAGCUACUAAGAAUAACUGCCACUGGUUAGCUAAGUCCAGCCAAAUAACAGGCUCGUUAACAACUUGAUCUAACUGACUUGAGCAAAUCCUAAGCUAACACAGCUGUCACAGUAACUAAGCUAAAAAUCUAUAAAUAAAUUAACUAUAUUUACACUGUUCUGCUGUGCAAAUCCAAAAUCGUUUAGAGUGGA
Molecule: unclassified non-coding RNA, 1260 nt
Filed under: Hevea brasiliensis (rubber tree)
Lineage: Eukaryota; Viridiplantae; Streptophyta; Magnoliopsida; Malpighiales; Euphorbiaceae
Source: RNAcentral